Molecule: ribosomal RNA, 482 nt
Filed under: uncultured bacterium
Lineage: Bacteria
Description: partial 16S ribosomal RNA
Rfam family: Bacterial small subunit ribosomal RNA
Source: RNAcentral
AUUGAACGCUGGCGGCAUGCUUUACACAUGCAAGUCGAACGGUAACAGGCCGCAAGGUGCUGACGAGUGGCGAACGGGUGAGUAAUGCAUCGGAACGUGCCCAGUCGUGGGGGAUAACUACUCGAAAGAGUAGCUAAUACCGCAUACGAUCUAUGGAUGAAAGCGGGGGACCGUAAGGCCUCGCGCGAUUGGAGCGGCCGAUGUCAGAUUAGGUAGUUGGUGGGGUAAAGGCUCACCAAGCCAACGAUCUGUAUCUGGUCUGAGAGGACGACCAGCCACACUGGGACUGAGACACGGCCCAGACUCCUACGGGAGGCAGCAGUGGGGAAUUUUGGACAAUGGGCGCAAGCCUGAUCCAGCAAUGCCGCGUGCAGGAAGAAGGCCUUCGGGUUUUAAACUGCUUUUGUACGGAACGAAACGGCUCUGGUUAAUACCCGGGGCUAAUGACGGUACCGUAAGAAUAAGCACCGGCUAACUACGUG